Molecule: non-coding RNA, 48 nt
Filed under: Schistosoma margrebowiei
Lineage: Eukaryota; Metazoa; Platyhelminthes; Trematoda; Strigeidida; Schistosomatidae
Source: RNAcentral
AUCCAGCUGACAUGUCUUAAAUAGGACGAAACCCGCGUCAUACUAGAU